AUGUAACCUAUGUGCUAUACAAAAUAAUAAUAAUGAGAAUAGCAUCCCGGGUUGUCUGGUGAAUUACAUAAAAACUACUAUAGUUCGUGAGGAAAAUAUAUAAAAUUGUGAAUAAAAAAUAAUAAUUUUGUUGAACCUUGACUUCUCUCGUCUCUCAACCACAGAAUCAUAAUGGUGGCUCACACUGUACUCCUGGACUUCACAGUACCGUCUAACACGGUAGGCGAUAUCGACAAGCGUUCAAACUUGAAAUCAACAAUUGCAAGUGUUCUGAAGGAUCAUUUCGACGGUCUCAAGCCCCUGACAGAGUCAACCAUCGACGACAGUUUCUUUGUUCUCUACACAGGACCAAGAGGCAGUCUCAUUACUGUCCGAGGAUAUGCAGAGGGCCUUGUGACAGUUAACAUUGAAUACUACAAGCAAGACGACGAACAGGCACUCAUGAGCCUCGAGUCGGCCAGAGACUUGGAGACAGCAAUGCAGGCAGCGGCUACAGCCACUCGAUCACACGCGCUUGUUCCACUCAAACGCGGUGGCCCAUUUGAGAGAUACUUUCCCACCGCCGAUGAGAGACUACUGGAGUACGAUAUCGAUAAAUUAGUAUUUGAGGCUCGAUCACCAUACCAGAAAGUGCAAAUUGUUCACUCAAAAUCACUGGGGAAUUUACUAGUCCUCGAUGAACUGCAAAAUAUGUCGGAGGCUGAUCUUAUCUAUACUGAAACUCUCAUGCAACGAGGAAAGGAGAAUUACACAGGGAAGGAAAUUGUGAUCUUGGGAGGUGGUGAUGGUGGACUUCUCUGGGAACUGCUCAAAGAAAAACCUAAAUACGUUACGAUGCUUGAGAUUGAUGACAUUGUUAUGAAGGCCUGCAGUGAGCAUAUGAGAAGCAUUUGCGGAGAUUGUUUGGAUAAGAGAAAAGGCGAUAAUUACGAGAUAAUUGUCGGAGACUGCGUGAAAGCUCUUGCUCACAUGAUUGAAGAGGGUCGCCAAUUUGAUUACGUCUUCGGGGAUUUGACUGACAUCCCUAUCAGCACAACGCCCCACGGUGACGCAUGGGAUUUCAUCAGAUUAAUAUUGAAUUCAUCAAUGAAAGUGCUGAAGCCAUCAGGGAAAUACAUGACUCACGCUUUGAGGUGAUGAAAUCAUCGACGAAAUUUCGUACAUCUGGACAUGCGAUUUUACCGGCCGAAUGACCUUCUAAAUAUUCACCUCCGCGAGCCGAAAAUGGUGCCUCAAAGCCGAAUUUGCAGUCAGGUGGCACGAAAACUUGAAAUUUUAACAGGCGCGGUGGAAAUAAAUGGAUCCGGAAAAAUUCCGACGAAAAAUAGUUAUCGGAGAAAAUUCACCUCAGAGAAACAAAAAUUGAGGCCACAACCCAGAAAACAAUUUUUGCCAGUACCUUCUAAAACUUAACAGGACAUGGGCAAUUUGUCGACAAAUUGUCGACAUACUGUUUGCUGAGAAGUGGAGGGGAAUGGUGCAUCCUGUCCGGAAUCGUUGUCGAUGUUUGAGGAUGUGCUCGCUCAACUAUCAGUACCCGUCGCAUUCACCAAAG
RNA transcript from Diachasma alloeum, 1555 nucleotides. It is a transcript of the gene named spermine synthase, with no coding region annotated. The record is from RefSeq and is a predicted model, not a curated record. NCBI's taxonomy places the organism in Eukaryota, Metazoa, Arthropoda, Insecta, Hymenoptera, Braconidae. The transcript is spliced from 10 exons.